This 256-nucleotide ribosomal RNA is filed under the name uncultured bacterium. Its description in RNAcentral is "partial 16S ribosomal RNA". It matches the Rfam family "Bacterial small subunit ribosomal RNA", at positions 521 to 776 of the family's 1533-position model. The record is from RNAcentral.
UAAUACGGAGGAUGCAAGCGUUAUCCGGAUUCAUUGGGUUUAAAGGGUGCGUAGGCGGGAUAAUAAGUCAGUGGUGAAAGCCUACAGCUUAACUGUAGAACUGCCAUUGAUACUGUUAACCUUGAGUACAAUUGAAGUGGGCGGAAUGUGUCAUGUAGCGGUGAAAUGCUUAGAUAUGACACAGAACACCGAUAGCGAAGGCAGCUCACUAAACUGUAACUGACGCUGAGGCACGAAAGCGUGGGGAUCAAACAGG